CAAGUCGAACGGGCUCUUCGGAGCUAGUGGCGGACGGGUGAGUAAUACAUAGGUAAUCUGCCUUAAAGUGGGGGACAACCAGGCGAAAGUUUGGCUAAUACCGCAUAAUGUGGACUGUUGGAAUAUGGUUCAAGAAAGAUUUAUCGCUUAUAGAGGAGCCUAUGGUUGAUUAGCUAGUUGGUGGGGUAAAGGCCUACCAAGGCGACGAUCAAUAGCUGGUCUGAGAGGACGAUCAGCCACACUGGGACUAAGACACGGCCCAGACUUCUACGGAAGGCAGCAGUGGGGAAUUUUCCGCAAUGGGGGCAACCCUGACGGAGCGACGCCGCGUGGAGGAUGAAGUUUUUCGGAAUGUAAACUCCUUUCAGCAGGGACGAAACAAAUGACGGUACCUGCAGAAGAAGCAUCGGCUAACUACGUGCCAGCAGCCGCGGUAAUACGUAGGAUGCAAGCGUUGUUCGGAAUUACUGGGCGUAAAGAGUACGUAGGCGGUUUGGUAAGUCUGAUAUUAAGACUGGGGCUCAACUCCAGGAGUGUAUCGGAAACUGUCAGACUAGAGGACAAUAGAGGAAGUCGGAAUUCUCAGUGUAGCGGUGAAAUGCGUAGAUAUUGGGAAGAACACCAGUGGCGAAAGCGGACUUCUGGGUUGUUACUGACGCUGAGGUACGAAAGCGUGGGAGCAAACGGGAUUAGAUACCCCGGUAGUCCACGCGGUAAACGAUGGAUACUAGAUGUAGCCGGUCUCGACCCCGGCUGUGUCGCAGCUAACGCAUUAAGUAUCCCGCCUGGGGAGUAUGGCCCCAGGUUGAAACUCAAGGAAUUGACGGGGACCGCACAAGCGGUGGAGGA
This 849-nucleotide ribosomal RNA is filed under the name uncultured cyanobacterium. RNAcentral's name for it is "bacterial SSU rRNA". It matches the Rfam family "Bacterial small subunit ribosomal RNA", at positions 58 to 939 of the family's 1533-position model. The record is from RNAcentral. Lineage: Bacteria; Bacillati; Cyanobacteriota.